CUUAUAUUUUAGUAUUUUUAAUUUAAUUUAUAAAUUUAUUUUUUAGUAUUAUGUUGUUGUUCUUUUUUUUUCUUUUUUUUUUAGUUUUAAAAAUUUUGUUUUAAUAAUAAAAAAAAAUAAUGGCAAAAAUCUGCAGAUGUGGUUGCCAGAAAUUUACUGUUAACAAUUAAUAAGGGGAGUAAUUUGUUUCCCAUUACUUUAAUCUAAAUAUUGUUUUAUUAUUAUAAUUUUUAUUAUUAAAAUGACUUGACCAUUGACACUUCAAUUUAAGGCAGUAACAGAACAAGUUUUAAGUUAAAGACCUCUAAUUUCUCAUCUAAUUUGAUUCCUAAGAGAAAGACUGAUAGCACAUGUGUGUCCUUCUUUGGCUGCAGACGCUGUGCUCCUCACUGCUCCUCCCACAGGUGUCCGGCGCUCCACAGCUGACCUGGAAACCAAUGAUUGAUGACAUCAUUUAAAGGGCUGCUCCAGUUCUCUGUUUGGACUCUCAUUCUGACGGCACCCAUUCACUGCAGAGCAUCCAUUGAUGAGACACUGAUGCAGUGCUACAUUUCUACAAACCUGAUGAAGAAACAAACUCAUCCUGAUCUCAGAUGAUCUGAGGGAGGAUCACCGUAAUGGAGGUGGACUGUAAAUAAGCAGAAGGCCUUCUUGACAAAUGAAUCCAUUAACAUUUCCCAGUGUCACCUGGCAAGGAGACUUGCCGUUUAUGAGGCAGAAAAAACAGGCCUGUAAAUCUGACGAUCGGCGGAGACCUGAAACCUGCGCGUUCAUGAUGCAGCACUUUAUCUGGCUCUGAAAUGGCAUCUUUAUCUGCUUAAAUUAAGUUUUGAUUCCUUGCCACAUACGGUGUUGCAAAUCACUUUUAACGCCGAUAUCGAGAGUGGCACUAAAGUCGGCCUGUGGCCAUGAAAAACUGCUUUUUAUUUUGUAGCAUCCUUGUGUUGUGCCGGUUUGCUUUAACCCCUGCAUAUUCUCUCAGCAUAAUCUAUCACAGAAAGAUGCUCUAAAAAGUCAUUGAGUCAAGGUUUAUGGGCAGAAUAAAUUUCCAAUUUAAAUUUGGUUUUACCGCUGUGUGUCAGAGAAGGAUUCCCUGACUUCUGUUUCACUUCAUAACGCCGGCCUGAAGUCAGCGCUUUAGAGACGCCGAGAUUGAUAGAGUUUUUUUUUCUCAAGGACGCCCAUCAUUCGCUCAGGCGUUAACGUCUUUGUUAAUGGAGGAGAAGGGCUGUCGCACCAAUGACUGACAGGUCUUUCAUCGUUAGCAAACGCUGAGUGACAGUUUGGGGGAAAAGCACCAAUGAGCUGAGAGAGGUGAGUUUAUGUUGAUGUUGCUGUUUGGGUUUGAUUAGAGCAGAGCUUCUCCAGCGGUUUGUCAUCAGGAUUUACACUGAAAAAAAAAAAAAAAAAACUGGGGUAGAAACAAUUCUCAUGUAGAAACUGCACGUAAAUUUCACAAAUCGUUACUAAGUAAUGGCAAUAACACAUUGAAAUAAUCAUGAAAUUUUGAAGUGGACAAACCAAAAUAGUAUUUUCUUGUAACAUGCACUCCAAUAAUUUUAUUUACAACAUUGAAAAUUUAGUUUUACAGUGCAGAUUUUACAUCAAUGGUCUCAAGCUCACAGCUCUGCAGAGUUCAGCUCCAACCAGCUCCAAAUCACACCUGCUUGAAAGUUUCAUAUAUAGUUUUAAUUAACUAUUUAACUUUAACAAAUUGUUGCUUGAAAUAAAAUAGACAUUAACUGAAAAAAUAAAGAUGUGCUAAAAAUAACAAGAAUUUUAAAUAAAAAUUAAUACAAACUAUAUAUAAACAAACCACUAAAAAUUACAAAAACACACAACAAAAUUACAAAAACUUUAACUAAAAUUAAAAAAAGCAUUUCCAUUAUUUAAUAAUACAGACACUAAAUAGACAUUAAUGAAAUAAAAUAGACAUUAUUGAUAUAAAAGAAAAUAUAAAACCUUUUUAUU
This is a long non-coding RNA of Cyprinus carpio carpio, 1971 nucleotides long. The record is from Ensembl. NCBI's taxonomy places the organism in Eukaryota, Metazoa, Chordata, Actinopteri, Cypriniformes, Cyprinidae.